GCGCCUGUAGCUCAAUUGGACAGAGCAACGGACUUCUAAUCCGUGGGUUGGAGGUUCGAGUCCUCUCAGGCGCGCCA
This 77-nucleotide transfer RNA is filed under the name Thermanaerovibrio acidaminovorans DSM 6589. Its description in RNAcentral is "tRNA-Arg (TCT) (tRNA-Arg-TCT-1-1)". It matches the Rfam family "tRNA". Rfam says of the family: Transfer RNA (tRNA) molecules are approximately 80 nucleotides in length. Their secondary structure includes four short double-helical elements and three loops (D, anti-codon, and T loops). Lineage: Bacteria; Thermotogati; Synergistota; Synergistia; Synergistales; Synergistaceae. The record is from RNAcentral.